GAUGAACGCUGGCGGCGUGCUUAACACAUGCAAGUCGAACGGAAAGGCCCAAGCUUGCUUGGGUACUCGAGUGGCGAACGGGUGAGUAACACGUGGGUGAUCUGCCCUGCACUUCGGGAGAAGCCUGGGAAACUGGGUCUAAUACCGGAUAGGACCUCAUUUUGGAUGGUGUGGUGGAAAGUUUUUCGGUGUGGGAUGAGCUCGCGGCCUAUCAGCUUGUUGGUGGGGUAAUGGCCUACCAAGGCGUCGACGGGUAGCCGGCCUGAGAGGGUGUACGGCCACAUUGGGACUGAGAGAAGGCCCAGACGCGGACGGGAGGCAGAAGUGGGGAAGAUUGAACAAGGGGCGCAGGCCGGAUGCAGAGACGCCGCGGGGGGGAUGACGGUGUUAGGGUUGAAGAAUCCAUGCGCUAGGGACGAAGCGUUAUGUGACGGUACCUGGAGAAGAAGCACCGGCUAACUACGUG
RNAcentral lists this ribosomal RNA (466 nucleotides) under uncultured bacterium. RNAcentral describes it as "partial 16S ribosomal RNA". It matches the Rfam family "Bacterial small subunit ribosomal RNA", at positions 28 to 507 of the family's 1533-position model. The record is from RNAcentral.